This is a long non-coding RNA of Triticum aestivum (bread wheat), 2955 nucleotides long. RefSeq lists it as uncharacterized. The record is from RefSeq and is a predicted model, not a curated record. NCBI's taxonomy places the organism in Eukaryota, Viridiplantae, Streptophyta, Magnoliopsida, Poales, Poaceae. The transcript has 3 exons.
CCCGCGACCCUGUCUUCUAUCUUAUCCCUUUUCCAGCACGGCGGGGCGGCGGUGGGCUCGCGGGAGACGGCGCUCGGGGAGGCGGCGGUGCGCUCGGGCGCCGCAUCAGGCGGCGGCAGCGAGGUGGGGAGGCGGCGCUGCGCUCCAGGGAUGCAGCAGCGAGGCGUCGAGGCGGCGGUGCCCUCGGGCGCCGCAUCAGGCGGCGACAUCGAAGCGGGGAGGCGGCGCUGCGCUCCGAGGAUGCAGCAGCGAGGCGUCGAGGCGUCGAGGCGGACCUGUGCUCGGGCUCCGCAUCAGGCGGCGGCAGCGAGGCAGGAGGCGCACGGGGAGAUGAAGGAGGAGAAAAUGGAGAGUCGGCCAGGGCACGGACCACAGCGGCGCAAGCUUGCAGGGGGCGAUGGAGGGAGGCGGCGCUGCGCUCGGGCGCCGCAUGCCUCCUCUGCGUCUCCUUUCUUUCUUCCACAACUUCUUCUCUCUUGCACGUCACCGUCUUGCUGGCCACGCAGUAAAGAGAUCGAGGAAGAGGCGGGAGUCGGGUCAAUCGAUCUGUCGCACGACAGAUGCGGCACUCCCUGUUCCAUCUAGCAACGGGCAGCAGAGGGAGGUGGAAGAGGAGCCACGACCUCGGAGCAGGAUGCUGCCGCCUAACACGCAUCUGACCAUGAGCUGGAGGAUAAGUACAAAUACUUGCACCGAACUGUAUGAUUUGUUGGCCCAAGUGUUGAGUCUGAGAUGGCAUCUUUAUGCUUUCAGAGAAGCGCAUCUCUGAAAUUCACAGUUUUAAACCCAAAGAGAUACAUCUAGACAAUGCUCGCAUGAGUGGUUCCAGUGUCAUAUACGCCAACAUGGCAGUUGGAGAUUUGGGAUCGGAUGCUGCUCCAAGAACGAGGGACCAAGGUGCUGAACUAACAGCAGGGGGAGGAUGAUUCUUCAGGUAACAACAUAGCCCGUCGACUAGAGAAUUAAGUUAACUGUUUGCUUUACUUGAAGCUCCAAAUUGUAGUAAUUUUAUUCGUUCACUAAUUUGGUAUAAUCUUAAUCUAGGAGGAUUAGCACUGUAUGAUAUGAGAUACUGACGUUUAGCAAUGAUAAAAGUCUGAUGUUGAAUGGUUCUUUUCGGAGUACAGUUGUAAGAUCUAUGAUUCUAGCUUCGACCUUUAACUGGACAGUACUAAUUGGACAUAUAAUUGAUGAUUUAUGCACAGCAAGAUAUUCUGUUGUUUUUAGUUCUUCAAUCAGAUUCAUCUAGCCCUUUGUUGACUUUCUAAUUGUUACCCUCUACCUCUGAAACUCAGAAAUCAGAGAAAGGUCAUUGGCAAUUUGGCAUAUCCCUGUCACUGGCGAAGAUUUGCUAGAGAGGAAGAGCACCAGAUUUUUUUUCUAUUGUUGGGGGCAUACAUAAUACAUAUAGAUAAAUUUGGACCAUUUUUAACAGAGAGAUUUCUUGCCAAAAAUAUUAACUCUGUCCAGCAGUGGGCAUUGUCAAGGUAAUAAAAGGAAUUUGCUGAACCUAAUUGAAUGAAAGAGGGAUGGCUAAUCCGAUUGAGAACCUUCUGUAACUGAAUAGACUUACGAACGAUCAACAAUACUAAAUAGUUCCAAAUUAACAGACAUUGCUUGAUUAAAAUACUGAUUUAAGAAUUUGGCGAAUCUAUAAUUCUCUACAUAAUCACUUAGUGUAUUUUUGAUCACCGGGUUAUCCUAGACCACUUGGGGACAGUAUCAUCAAUUUCUUGCAUACUGCAAUGCAAGUUUUAAAAGCCAAUUUCUUAUGUUUCUUAUUAUCUUUAUGUUCACCUAACUGCCAAGAAUCAUAAAAGGAUGCACCUAAGGAGGUAGAUUUUGUUUUAUGCAUAUUUUAAGUGUACGUAUGCUGCAACUGAUUAACAAAACAUUGUUCAACCUUCUAUGAGUCUGCCUAGGGAGCUGCACAGAUUUGGAACAACUUCCAGAACAAGCACCAAGCAUUUUGGUCAGGUACCACUAAGCUGCCAGAGCAAGAUAGCUGGGAUGUCAAGUCCCUAGGGCAAUGGUAAAUCUCAAAUUGCCUGAUGUUCGAUGGGAAGCAUCAGACAAUACCAAUGUCCAGUAGUAAGAUCUGAUUGUGCAGGUGGUCAAGCCAAGAUAAGUGUGCGUGCAUCACCGUUUAGUCGAGAUUUAGAAAAAGAUGAUGUCUGCUAUGAUAGUUUCCAGAAUAGUUUGGCCCUUGAGACACUUCCACUGUAUGCAUGUGUGUUCCUUUUUUCCAGAGAUAUGCAUGUCUAUUGAUUAUUAUUGGAAUUGGUUCAACAAACAGUGUAUAUGUGACAAAAUUACUAAUAUACUGACCGAGCCUGAUAAUCUGACUAAUCCAUACAGUGGAUAUGCACCAAUGCUCAAAUUUUAAAAAUGAAGGAUUCAACUUUUUUUGGAUUAUUAUUAUUUGUGAAGUCGUGAGUAUGCCUAGCAACCGUAAAAAAUAUAUAGUUCGACUUAGUGGUAGGUUCUGCAGUAGUCUUGCCUUGAAGGUUUCGUCAUAGUAAAAAUUGAUAUGUCUUUAUGAAGUAAUCUGAGCAUUUUGUUGGUUGCAGGUUAACUUUGUUCUCCAAUAUAGGUGGCGUAUGUUUGUGCAAAAUGAUUAUGAAAGGACUUCUGGUAACUUUAUCUUUUGUCAAGGUUGUUUACUUGGUGGAGCAAACUUCCAUUUCCUCUGAACAGGUGAACAUGACAUGUGUGAUGGCUGUCAGCCCUAAUGAGCUUUAGACAUGUAUCUGAGGUUUCGUUGGCUGUAAACAAGUAGGGUCAACGAGUCGAGCAGAUCCUGGACCAUCACAUGAACACAUGAAAUAGGUUGAGACCGGCAGCUUUUGGUAACCAGUCUAAGCUCUAGCACCUUGAUGCAAGCCAGAAUAGCCUCACUGGAUCAACAUUCCCGGGAAUAACAGAAUUGGUGAACCAGUUGACACUUGAUCUUAA